RNAcentral lists this transfer RNA (73 nucleotides) under Diaphorina citri (Asian citrus psyllid). It matches the Rfam family "tRNA". Rfam says of the family: Transfer RNA (tRNA) molecules are approximately 80 nucleotides in length. Their secondary structure includes four short double-helical elements and three loops (D, anti-codon, and T loops). Further hydrogen bonds mediate the characteristic L-shaped molecular structure. tRNAs have two regions of fundamental functional importance: the anti-codon, which is responsible for specific mRNA codon recognition, and the 3' end, to which the tRNAs corresponding amino acid is attached (by aminoacyl-tRNA synthetases). tRNAs cope with the degeneracy of the genetic code in two manners: having more than one tRNA (with a specific anti-codon) for a particular amino acid; and 'wobble' base-pairing, i.e. permitting non-standard base-pairing at the 3rd anti-codon position. Lineage: Eukaryota; Metazoa; Arthropoda; Insecta; Hemiptera; Psyllidae. The record is from Rfam by way of RNAcentral.
GCCUAGUUAGCUUAGUUGGUAGUGCGUCUGCCUUGUAAGCGCUAGACCGCGGGUUCGAUUCCCACCCGGGGCG